CAGUCGAACGGAGAUGUUGCAGCAGAAGCGAAUAGCUUGCUAUGAGUGGAAACAGUGGCAUCUUAGUGGCGGACGGGUGAGUAACGCGUGGGCAACCUGCCCUGCACUGGGGGAUAACACUUAGAAAUAGGUGCUAAUACCGCAUAAUAAAAUAUAUUGCAUGAUAUAUUUUUGAAAGCUGCGGCGGUGCAGGAUGGGCCCGCGUCUGAUUAGCCAGUUGGCGGGGUAACGGCCCACCAAAGCGACGAUCAGUAGCCGGCCUGAGAGGGUGGACGGCCACAUUGGGACUGAGACACGGCCCAAACUCCUACGGGAGGCAGCAGUGGGGGAUAUUGGACAAUGGGGGGAACCCUGAUCCAGCGACGCCGCGUGAGUGAAGAAGUAUUUCGGUAUGUAAAGCUCUAUCAGCAGGGAAGAAAAGAAUGACGGUACCUGAAUAAGAAGCCCCGGCUAACUACGUGCCAGCAGCCGCGGUAAUACGUAGGGGGCAAGCGUUAUCCGGAUUUACUGGGUGUAGAGGGAGCGCAGACGGCAAUGCAAGCCUGGAGUGAAAGGCGGGGGCCCAACCCCCGGACUGCUCUGGGAACUGUAUAGCUAGAGUGCAGGAGAGGCAAGUGGAAUUCCUAGUGUAGCGGUGAAAUGCGUAGAUAUUAGGAGGAACACCAGUGGCGAAGGCGGCUUGCUGGACUGUAACUGACGUUGAGGCUCGAAAGCGUGGGGAGCAAACAGGAUUAGAUACCCUGGUAGUCCACGCCGUAAACGAUGAUUACUAGGUGUCGGAGGGCAUGGGCCCGUCGGUG
RNAcentral lists this ribosomal RNA (800 nucleotides) under uncultured bacterium. RNAcentral describes it as "bacterial SSU rRNA". It matches the Rfam family "Bacterial small subunit ribosomal RNA", at positions 59 to 845 of the family's 1533-position model. The record is from RNAcentral.